GGAACACAGCCCAUAGAACACUCUGGAGUACACCUCAGUUCGACAGAAGUGUACAGAGGCUUCUGGCAACACGGAUUGCCGUCUACCUGAUGACCUUUCUCAUCGUGACAGUGGCCUGGGCAGCACACACAAGGUUGUUCCAAGUUGUUGGGAAAACAGACGACACACUUGCCCUGCUCAACCUGGCCUGCAUGAUGACCAUCACCUUCCUGCCUUACACGUUUUCGUUAAUGGUGACCUUCCCUGAUGUGCCUCUGGGCAUCUUCUUGUUCUGUGUGUGUGUG
RNAcentral lists this long non-coding RNA (284 nucleotides) under Pan troglodytes (chimpanzee). RNAcentral describes it as "long non-coding RNA NONPTRT012337". Lineage: Eukaryota; Metazoa; Chordata; Mammalia; Primates; Hominidae. The record is from RNAcentral.